RNAcentral lists this ribosomal RNA (253 nucleotides) under uncultured bacterium. Its description in RNAcentral is "partial 16S ribosomal RNA". It matches the Rfam family "Bacterial small subunit ribosomal RNA", at positions 524 to 776 of the family's 1533-position model. The record is from RNAcentral.
UACGGAGGGUGCAAACGUUGCUCGGAAUCAUUGGGCGUAAAGCGCACGUAGGCGGCCUGUUAAGUCGGGUGUGAAAGCCCUGGGCUCAACCCAGGAAGUGCACUCGAAACUGACGGGCUUGAAUAUGGAAGAGGGUCGCGGAAUUCCCGGUGUAGAGGUGAAAUUCGUAGAUAUCGGGAGGAACACCAGUGGCGAAGGCGGCGACCUGGGCCAAUAUUGACGCUGAGGCACGAAAGCGUGGGGAGCAAACAGG